CUACGGGAGGCUGCAGUCGCGAAACCUUUACAAUGCACGAAAGUGUGAUAAGGGGAUUCUUAGUGCUAUAGGUUUAUAGCUUAUGGCUUUUGACAAAUGUAAAAAGUUUGUCGAAUAAGUGGUGGGCAAGACUGGUGCCAGCAGCCGCGGUAAUACCAGCGCCACGAGUGGUCAUCCUGUUUAUUGGGUCUAAAGCGUUCGUAGCCUGUUUGUUAAGUCUUUUGUGAAAUCUUUUAUCUCGAAUAAAAGUCGUGCAUGAGAUACUGGCUUACUAGGGGCCGGGAGAGGUAUGGAGUAUUCCAAGGGGAAUGGUAAAAUGUUUUAAUCCUUGGAGGACUGCCUGUGGCGAAAGCGCCAUACCAGAACGGUUUUGACGGUGAGGAACGAAAGCUGGGGGAGCGAACCGGAUUAGAUACCCUUGUAGUC
Molecule: ribosomal RNA, 426 nt
Filed under: uncultured archaeon
Lineage: Archaea
Description: partial 16S ribosomal RNA
Rfam family: Archaeal small subunit ribosomal RNA
Source: RNAcentral